This is an RNA transcript of Papaver somniferum (opium poppy), 2113 nucleotides long. RefSeq lists it as uncharacterized. Lineage: Eukaryota; Viridiplantae; Streptophyta; Magnoliopsida; Ranunculales; Papaveraceae. The record is from RefSeq and is a predicted model, not a curated record. The transcript is spliced from 2 exons.
CUUGAUUUUUUUCUUCUAAUGUUAAUUUUUUAGAGUUUUUUUCCCCAAAAAUGUUCUUUCAAUUUCAGAUCUUAUAUAUCGUGAUUCUUCUUUGUGGGAAAUUUUGAUUUUGGUUUAUUCUUUAUGUUGAUUUUGAAUGUACAUAUGUUGUUUGUGGAUCUUUUUAUUUAUUUAUUUAUUUUGAAUUUGGACAUCAAGUCAUGGUUAAAGAUCGGAAAAACAUCAACGGAAGAACUAGAAGAUCCGGUGAUAAUGAAAUUGAAUAUGAUUUAGCCACUGGUAAUUUUAUCUUUUUUUUUUAAUUUAGUAGGUUAUAAGAUGAUUGCUUAGUCAUGAUUAAUGGUAUUUUUAAGUUUGUUUUGUUGUGGGCGAUGUUUUCUCUUGACUGAAUAUGUAAGUUAUGAGCAGAAUUUCUAACCUGAUCACUAUGACUUCAUAGGUACAGGUUUAAUGCAACGUUCUUCAACAUUUUAAGCUUGAUACCAAUUUAUGUAGUUGGCAAUCUAAAUGGAGGUUGCGAUCGUAAACCAUGACAAUUCGUUUACGACAUAAUAGGAGUAAUGCAUAGAUUGCUAAUUUCCAAUUCUUGUUUAGUACAUGUCAGUAUCUACUACCCAGUACAUAUCAAUAUCUACUAGAUUUAUGUCCAGUACAUAUCAAUUUCUACUAGGUUUUUCGUUUAAUGUUGUAGUGUUGAUAUGCAUUUGUGAACAUUUUUCCUCAACAUUGUCCUCCAAUUCAAAUUUGAACUCUUAUGAUUGAACCUAUAGGAACUUUUAUCGAUUUUACUCAGUAUGUACCAAUAUAUACUAGGCUUCUAGUUCUUAUUCUUCUUUAGUACAUGUGUAUACGUACUGCAAUUUUAUGUUUUGAUUUUGUUUUGUUUUUUUAAAAUUGUUCGCAGACAUAUGAAUUUAUGCAUUUUAUAGGGGUUGUAUCCCACAGUAGCUAUGAACACUUUGGUGAUGAGCUUGUUAAUGCUAAAGAACGAAAAAACUAAUUGAGAUUUACUCCUUUAUUUCCGGACAGGUGCAUUUGUAUGUGUGAUCCAACAAAAUAUAUAUGUUUGGAGAUUUUUCCAGUCAUCUCAAUCUCCAAACUAGAUUAUAUUUUUUAUUUUUCUUAGUUUAUUUGAUGCUUAUAUUUUUGUCCACAACUUCGUCAUUGCAUGUUUAUAUGUAUUGUCUUUUAUCCAUGUACUAUGAAUUUCUCAUAGGAUAUGUAACCCCAGAACUGGUAGCAAUGAAGCAUAAUUUUGUGAAUUUAUCAAGUUUUUUGGAUCAGAUAAUACUGUCAUUAUUGUACUAUGGUUUCACUCAGUGCAUAUCGUUAUGUACUUAGUUUUCACUUUGUACAUAUUGGUAUGUACUAAAAUUACGUUUUAGUACAUAUCGGUAUGUACUAUGGGAUCAUAUAAUUUUUUCUUCUGUACAUAUUAAUAUGUAUUGUUGCACAUAAACUAGAUUUGUGGUGCUAUCCAAACAUAAAUUCGGUUUUUACCCAAUAAUUAAUUAAGAGUUCUUUACAGGGGUCAGGAAAGAAAAACACACCGUCUACUCGUGUACAUGUGAGAUCAUCUUUAUGAUUUUUUUUUGUUGUAUUACCCAUUCUAAAUUAAAAAAAAAGGCAUAUGAUCUGAUCUGAAUAAUUAAAAACUUUAUGAAAAGGUAUUAUUAGAUGUGUUACAUGUUUUUAGUUUAAUUGAGGUUACAUUUGGGUGGACCAUUAUUAGCUAACCAUUAGUGACUUCUAGUGCAGUCUUACUUUCCUUAUCAAGGUCAUCAUCGAUAUCGUCACUAGCAUUUUUGACGUUGAUGAGAAUCAAAUAGAACAAUGGAACAAUACUCUAUAUUCUUUGUGGUCAUCUUGUUGCUAGUCCCACAACCAAAGUUUUGUACGACUCCAUUGAUUGAUUGAUAAUAAUUCUUUUUACGUAUAUUGUUCUUAAUUUUAUUUUAUCUACAAGAAAAAAGUUGUAGUUCCCAAAGAUGGUACGUGAAUGGAUUCCGAUGCUCACAUGCUACUGCGGCAUCGCUACAGCUGGGGGAAAGUUCUUUGAAUACAUCGACGAAUACUUCAAGAUUUAUCAGAGUGGUGCAGCAAAACAAGCUAG